AGUGAACGCUGGCGGUAGGCCUAACACAUGCAAGUCGAACGGUAGCACAGUAAGAGCUUGCUCUUACGGGUGGCGAGUGGCGGACGGGUGAGGAAUACAUCGGAAUCUACUUUUUCGUGGGGGAUAACGUAGGGAAACUUGCGCUAAUACCGCAUACGACCUACGGGUGAAAGCAGGGGAUCUUCGGACCUUGCGCGAUUGAAUGAGCCGAUGUCGGAUUAGCUAGUUGGCGGGGUAAAGGCCCACCAAGGCGACGAUCCGUAGCUGGUCUGAGAGGAUGAUCAGCCACACUGGAACUGAGACACGGUCCAGACUCCUACGGGAGGCAGCAGUGGGGAAUAUUGGACAAUGGGCGCAAGCCUGAUCCAGCCAUACCGCGUGGGUGAAGAAGGCCUUCGGGUUGUAAAGCCCUUUUGUUGGGAAAGAAAAGUAGCAGGUUAAUACCCCGCUGUUCUGACGGUACCCAAAGAAUAAGCACCGGCUAACUUCGUG
RNAcentral lists this ribosomal RNA (492 nucleotides) under uncultured bacterium. Its description in RNAcentral is "partial 16S ribosomal RNA". It matches the Rfam family "Bacterial small subunit ribosomal RNA", at positions 29 to 507 of the family's 1533-position model. The record is from RNAcentral.